ACUCCUACGGGAGGGCAGCAGUAGGGAAGUCUUCCACAAUGGGCGCGAAGCCUGAUGGAGCAACACCGCGUGAGUGAAGAAGGGUUCGGCUCGUAAAGCUCUGUUGUUAAAGAAGAACACGUAUGAGAGUAACUGUUCAUACGUUGACGGUAUUUAACCAGAAAGUCACGGCUAACUACGUGCCAGCAGCCGCGGUAAUACGUAGGUGGCAAGCGUUAUCCGGAUUUAUUGGGCGUAAAGAGAGUGCAGGCGGUUUUCUAAGUCUGAUGUGAAAGCCUUCGGCUUAGCCGGAGAAGUGCAUCGGAAACUGGAUAACUUGAGUGCAGAAGAGGGUAGUGGAACUCCAUGUGUAGCGGUGGAAUGCGUAGAUAUAUGGAAGAACACCAGUGGCGAAGGCGGCUACCUGGUCUGCAACUGACGCUGAGACUCGAAAGCAUGGGUAGCGAACA
This 449-nucleotide ribosomal RNA is filed under the name uncultured bacterium. RNAcentral's name for it is "bacterial SSU rRNA". It matches the Rfam family "Bacterial small subunit ribosomal RNA", at positions 335 to 774 of the family's 1533-position model. The record is from RNAcentral.